GCUUUACGAAUCGUAGAGGGCCCCCUUAAAAGGGUCCAAUUUGUUAGAGUCGAGUUGCUUGAGAGUGCAACUUAAAGUGCGAGGUAAACUACUCGUAAGGCUAGCUUUAAAUACGGCUACGACACCGAUAGCAAACAAGUACCGUGAGGGAAAGUUGAAAUAGAACUUUGCAGAGAGAGUUAACAGGGCGUGAAACCGUUAAUUGGCAAACGAAUCGGAGCCACGAAGUCGUUUCGUUGUUUAGCCUCGGACUAGGUUCAGCUUGGAAUUCGUUCUGGGUGUAUUCCUGUGUCUGGCCAAACUUUGUAAGCGUACACUGCAACCAGUUAGACGAUUGGAUAUGGAAGUAGUUGCCAGGUAAGAGGCCUUAAAAACUUCAACUGGUAGCGUAGUACUUGUUUGUCUGGAUUAGUAGUAGUGCUGUGUGUCUUCGGAUGCAUUGGUGUUGCUGGAUCUAUGGCAAGUGAACUAUAACCAAAUACUGACUGGCACAAUGAAAAUCACCUUGUGUGUAAAAUAAAAUGCAGUUUGCAGUACAGAUGUCUACACAUUCAGCUGCGUGGUCUUAAGCUCAGCAUUUUUAAAUUCAGACCUGCUUGCUACCAAUGGGGCAACUCUUGGUGCUUGUAUGGCUUCUGUCUAAUUGGGUGUUGACUUGGCUAUGUAUGUCUGUGGUGUGAAUCGAUAGGAUGUUUGUGCUAGCAGAUUCGCUAGAAUGGCAGUGAGUA
Molecule: ribosomal RNA, 728 nt
Filed under: Aceria artemisiifoliae
Lineage: Eukaryota; Metazoa; Arthropoda; Arachnida; Trombidiformes; Eriophyidae
Description: eukaryotic LSU rRNA
Rfam family: Eukaryotic large subunit ribosomal RNA
Source: RNAcentral